UAAUCUUGCAGCACCUCAGUUUUCCCAUUUCUAAAGUGUGCUGCUACCUUCCAUGCAGGGCGUUGAGGGGCUUCCCUACGUUAUUACGCACAAAGUCCUCCUCACAGUGCCUGGUGUGUGGUCAGCAUUUAUAUGCCUGGCACCAGGCCGGGGGCUAUGGAGGCAAAUCAGCUGGGCCCUGCCCUCACAGAGUUGACAUCACUUAGUACGUAACCACAUUGGGAUACAUGUUUUGAAGGAGAGGACAGUGUGUCUGGCCAGUGAGCAACAGUGGGCCAUACGUCUCCAGGGAACCCCCGUGGGGUGUGGGAGGAGGGAAGCAGGUCUGUCCUGGGGGAAUGUGUGGGACCACCUCUGCCCUGCUUGGCAGUAGGUGGAUUUCAGGACCAUGGGCCUGUGCUGUUUACAGAACCUUGUCCAGGUGCCCAGCUGUGGGAGGGCAGCAUGGAGAGGAGGAAGAGGGGGCCCCUAGUAGCAAGCUUCAGAAACUUGCCACUUCAGGCUAGAGAGCUCGCACCCUCCCACGGCAGCAGGGUAGCCAUUUCUCCCUGACUGGGGUGUCCACCAUGGUGCUCUGCAGCCACCUCUCACUUCAUUAAGAGUCCACAGAUCUAGGAGCAGAGGACUGGUCUGGAGCUGGGCAAGGGCAGGCAGCAAAUGGGGAGUUUUUGCUGUGUGACCUGAGGUCACUUGCCUGCCUUCUCUGGACUGCACUGUAGGGCCUGGAGACCUGUUCCCCUGUUCCAAUUUCCCCACCUCAGUGAAGGCACAACCAACAGCUGCUCCCCGGGCAUUUCCAAGACCCUCCAGGCCCCCAGCUCUGAGGACUAGGGUGGAGGCAGUGUUUCUCCCCAGCAUCAAGUGACCAGAGAAGUGAAGUGACCCCACUGCCGCCACACAGAGCCACACAGUGCGAUGUCUGGAGCUCCUGCCUCCUGCAAGGUGGAGGGUGGGGCUUGGCCAGGAGUGACCAGACUACAGAGUGAGGGGUGUGCUUGUGGGGGUGAAGGGUUGGGGUGAGAACUGAGCCCGAGUCGAACUCAUCCUCCUCUGCCCUGAUGCACUGUGCAACUUGGGGGAGUCACUGUCCCUCUCUGGGCCUCGCUUUCCCCAUCUUCGAUAGGACUUGGCUCUGCCUGGCCACUCCUCCUCCAAUGGGGGAAUUCCUGGGCUUGCCUCUGUCUUGGCUCCAGCUCAGGUGUCAGUCUCAGCCCUGUCCCAGCCAGGAACAAUGGGCCAGGCAGGGCCAGUCACCCCCUGUCCCUGGGGGCUCCACCCACGGCCCUGGACUAUUUUCAGCCCUUGCAGAUGGAGUCAGAAGAGGAUUUUCCACUCCCAGUACAAUGACUGCCCUGGACCAUUGUCCAGCAGUGACGCGGGGGACCUGCCUGCCCCAAAAUAUCUCCUGCCCCUAGUUUCCAAGCCUCUUUGCCCUGCUCCUCACCUCCUGGCCCUGCUCCUUACCUCCCCACCCUGAUGUCAUUUCCUGGGGCUCUUAACUCCUGAAGGCCAUUGUGAAACAUCACGUGAGACUCCUGGGAGACACAACCAGUUGGAAUGAGUUUUCCCUCCUGGCAGGGACCCCAGGGAUUGUUUGGCUGCUUAGUGGGACUGGUGGCCCAGAGAGGGCUGUGCCUUACCCAGUCACACAGCAGUCAGUGUGAAGCUUAGGUGUAAGCCCAGGGCUCUUUGGCUGCUCCCACUGCCUCAGCCAACUUCAUUAGCUCCAGUCUGUGGCUCCUGGACUGGAGCUACAGUGGUGAGAGCUCACCACUGAGCUUCCUGGGAUGGGCACCUGGGAUAGCAGCCCAAGUGGUGUGGGUGGAGAGGUGCAGCUCAUGCUCUGACCUUGGAGUGAGCCCAGUGCAGGGGCCUGACCUUAAACCCUUUCUCCCCACUGAGUCCCAUUUUUACCAAAUGUGGCUGUUAGGAACUGAAUGUUUGUGUCCCCCGCCCCACAAAUCCAUAUGUCAAAAUCCCAACUGCCAAGGUGAUGGUAUUAGAAGGUGGGGCCUUUGGGAAGUAACCAGGUCCUAAGGGUGCAGCCCUCAUGAAUGGGUUUAGUGCCCUUACAGAAUGGACCCCAGAGAGCUCCUCACCCUCUUUCCACCAUGUGAGGAUAUAAUGAGAAGUUGGCAGUCUGCAACCUGGAAGAGGUCCCUCACCAGAUCCCAACCAUGCUGGCACCCCGAUCUUAGACUUCCAGUCUUCAGAAUGGUGAGAAAUAAAUGUCUCUUGUUUCUAAUCCACCCAGUCGGUGGCAUUUUGUUAUAGCAGCCCACGCUGACUGUGACUGAACUCAGGGUGACAGAGCAGCAGCUCUGGGGCAAAGGGGAGGGUGGGGGCCACAGGGCAGCUGAUGCAGGAGCAGGGCUCUGGCACAGUUCAGCCAUCACCAAUUCUGGGACUGCAAAUUCAGUUUCUUCAUCUGGAAAAUUGAACUGGUAAUACCAAUACCUCUUUUCCCGGUUUACUAGACAGAGACAAUGCAGUGAGGCACAAACAUGCAACUGUUUGAUUUUCCUCCCACCCAUGCUCCCUGCUCAGUGACGUGUGAUUUUCCUUUCCCAUCCAUAAACUGCGCAUUUGGCAAACUCCAAACUUUUGAGUCACUUUUGGGUAACAAAGUCAGGUUUAAGAUUUCCAUCGCCUGCUUAAUUGAAUGCUCACCUGUCCUCUUCCCCCAUGCUGUGAGGACCUUCAUCACUCCUCUUCUGGGUCCCUCUCUCCUCUAGGUGUUGGGGCAGGGUGGGGAGGAAAGGGACCAAUGUGUCUUUCCUGGUGAUGCUACAGCCCUCUCUUGCUGACCUUGCUUCCUGGGCCAUCAGUGCCCCCUGCACAGAACUCUCCAAACAUCAGUCCACACCUUUGUAAAAACAGUCUCUCCGCUAAGCUAUCCCAAAAUGACCUGAUUAGAGUGUGCAACGUCUUUCCUGCUGGGACUCUGACUGAUACCCUGGUCUCCCUGAGUGAUUUUCCUGCACACCCUGCUGGGGAUGUGGAAGCCUGUCCCCCUCCCACCCCACACCCCACACUUGGCUGAGAUCUCACAGUGGCAAAGAUGUCUUUGAAUCCAUGGUGCCCAGGGUUCAGCGUGUAGAGUGAGGUGGGGUGUGUAGAGAGCUGGGGCAAGGAACCCUGAGAAGAUGUCUUACCCCAGUUGUUUCCAGGUUUCUUUAGAAAGCGGGCUAUUUUACCCCAUGUGUCCUCAGAUUUAUGUCCUGGAACCAAAUUCCAAAUCAGCAGCCACAUGAAAAGUCCCCUCCUCUCUGGCGUGGAAUUAAACUGUUAGACCUGCCUUUGUGACCAAAGCAAUUGUAAAACGUGGGGGAGGAAAUUAAAAGCCUGCCACCUUAGUCCA
Molecule: long non-coding RNA, 3361 nt
Organism: Homo sapiens (human)
Lineage: Eukaryota; Metazoa; Chordata; Mammalia; Primates; Hominidae
Source: Ensembl